RNAcentral lists this ribosomal RNA (118 nucleotides) under Pteropus alecto (black flying fox). Lineage: Eukaryota; Metazoa; Chordata; Mammalia; Chiroptera; Pteropodidae. The record is from RNAcentral.
GAAUACAGCCAUGCCACCCUGAACAUGCCGAUGUCAUUUGAUCUCGGAAGCUGAACAGGGUCGGGCCUGGUUAGUACUUGGAUGGGAGAUCACCUAGGAAUACCAGGUGCUGCAGGCG